This 491-nucleotide ribosomal RNA is filed under the name uncultured bacterium. RNAcentral's name for it is "bacterial SSU rRNA". It matches the Rfam family "Bacterial small subunit ribosomal RNA", at positions 903 to 1397 of the family's 1533-position model. The record is from RNAcentral.
AAAUGAAUUGACGGGAGCCCGCACAAGCAGUGGAGUAUGUGGUUUAAUUCGACGCAACGCGAAGAACCUUACCGAAACUUGACAUCCCGAGAAGACUGUUGUAAAGACGGUUGUGCCCUUCGGGGAACUCGGAGACAGGUGGUGCAUGGUUGUCGUCAGCUCGUGUCGUGAGAUGUUGGGUUAAGUCCCGCAACGAGCGCAACCCUUACGGUUAGUUGCUACGCAAGAGCACUCUAGCCGGACUGCCGUUGACAAAACGGAGGAAGGUGGGGACGACGUCAAAUCAUCAUGCCCCUUACGUUUCGGGCUACACACGUACUACAAUGGCGCAAACAAAGGGAAGCGAAGCCGCGAGGUGAAGCAAACCCCAUAAAAGGCGCCUCAGUUCAGACUGCAGGCUGCAACUCGCCUGCACGAAGUUGGAAUUGCUAGUAAUCGCGGAUCAGCAUGCCGCGGUGAAUACGUUCCCGGGCUUUGUACACACCGCCCGU